Molecule: transfer RNA, 73 nt
Filed under: Rhodeus suigensis (spring bitterling)
Lineage: Eukaryota; Metazoa; Chordata; Actinopteri; Cypriniformes; Acheilognathidae
Description: tRNA-Thr
Rfam family: tRNA
About the family: Transfer RNA (tRNA) molecules are approximately 80 nucleotides in length. Their secondary structure includes four short double-helical elements and three loops (D, anti-codon, and T loops).
Source: RNAcentral
GCACUAGUAGCUUAGUUUUUAAAGCAUCGGUCUUGUAAUCCGGAGAUCGAGGGUUAAAAUCCCUCCCAGUGCC